GGCGACUUGCCCGGAAUCAAACAUGAUCAUGUGCUUCCGGAGCGAGUCGUCGAA
This 54-nucleotide microRNA precursor is filed under the name Pristionchus pacificus. RNAcentral describes it as "microRNA ppc-mir-8350 precursor". The record is from miRBase by way of RNAcentral. Lineage: Eukaryota; Metazoa; Nematoda; Chromadorea; Rhabditida; Neodiplogasteridae.